GACGAACGCUGGCGGCGUGCUUAACACAUGCAAGUCGAACGGAAAGUCUCCAGCUUGCUGGAGUACUCGAGUGGCGAACGGGUGAGUAACACGUGGGUAAUCUGCCCUGCACUCUGGGAUAAGCCUGGGAAACUGGGUCUAAUACUGGAUAUGACCUUUCUCCUUAUGGGGUUUGGUGGAAAGUUUUUCGGUGUAGGAUGAGCCCGCGGCCUAUCAGCUUGUUGGUGGGGUGAUGGCCUACCAAGGCGACGACGGGUAGCCGGCCUGAGAGGGUGAUCGGCCACAUUGGGACUGAGAUACGGCCCAGACUCCUACGGGAGGCAGCAGUGGGGAAUAUUGCACAAUGGGCGGAAGCCUGAUGCAGCGACGCCGCGUGAGGGAUGACGGCCUUCGGGUUGUAAACCUCUUUCAGCAGGGACGAAGCGUAAGUGACGGUACCUGCAGAAGAAGCACCGGCUAACUAUGUG
This 467-nucleotide ribosomal RNA is filed under the name uncultured bacterium. Its description in RNAcentral is "partial 16S ribosomal RNA". It matches the Rfam family "Bacterial small subunit ribosomal RNA", at positions 28 to 507 of the family's 1533-position model. The record is from RNAcentral.